RNAcentral lists this unclassified non-coding RNA (354 nucleotides) under rhizosphere metagenome. RNAcentral describes it as "partial ribosomal RNA internal transcribed spacer region". The record is from RNAcentral.
GUAGGUGAACCUGCGGAAGGAUCAUUAUCACGUUAUCCACGUUAUCUACCAACCGCGAAUCUGUUUAUUAUCACCUCUGGGGUGAGAGAAGUUCGUGCAAGAAGACAACACAUAGAGCGUUUUCGGUGGUUUGAGUAGCUCUGUUGUAUUCUCGCCUCGGUUCGUCCGUACUCUCUUCCCUGGUUGUAACUUUCAAACUACCAUUUCUAUUUACCAUUUGAACAAUAUCUUGAACUUUUUGUCUGAUCUAUUUCUUACUCAUCGAAACAAAAAGCCUUUGGGUUUUUUCUUUUUGAGAGAAGAAAUUCAUUACGAAACAAAGAACAACUCUUAGCAACGGAUAUCUUGGUUCUC